Molecule: ribosomal RNA, 406 nt
Filed under: uncultured bacterium
Lineage: Bacteria
Description: partial 16S ribosomal RNA
Rfam family: Bacterial small subunit ribosomal RNA
Source: RNAcentral
AUUGAACGCUGGCGGCAGGCCUAACACAUGCAAGUCGAGCGAGCGGCGGACGGGUGAGUAAUGUCUGGGAGACUGCCGGAUGGAGGGGGCUAACUACUGGAAAAGGUAGCUAAUACCGCAUACAAUCAGAUGUGCACAGAUGGGAUUGGCUAGUAGGUGGGGUAACGGCUCACCUAGGCGACGAUCCCUAGCUGGUCUGAGAGGAUGACCAGCCACACUGGAACUGAGACACGGUCCCGCCUCCUACGGUAGGCAGCAGUGUGGAUUCUUGCACAAUGGGCGCAAUCCUGAUGCAGCCAUGCCGCGUGUGUGAAGCAGGCCUUCGGGUUUUAAAGCACUUUCAUCUGGUAGGCGUUACCCGCAGAAGAAGCACCGGCUAACUCCGUGCCAGCAGCCGCGGUAAUAC